Molecule: long non-coding RNA, 367 nt
Filed under: Mytilus galloprovincialis (Mediterranean mussel)
Lineage: Eukaryota; Metazoa; Mollusca; Bivalvia; Mytilida; Mytilidae
Source: RNAcentral
UUCACUAAAACAAGAGUGCACACACUGAAAUGUCUUGCCUUCUUUACUAAUCAUUGAUAUUAUGUUGAUAGUCCUAAGUAUAAAGCUUUAACAACUGCCACAUAAACUUAACAUAAACCAAGAUAGCUAAACAAAGACAAAUGAACCAUGAAAAUGAGGUCAAGGUCAGAUGAACCAUGCCAGGCAGACAUGUACAGCUAACAAUGCUUCCAUACAAUAAAUAUAGUUGACCUAUUACUUAUAGUUUAAGAAAAACAGACCAAAACACAAAAAAACUUAACACUGUGCAAUGAACUGUGAAAUUGAGGUCAUGGUCAAAUAAAACCUGCGGGACUUACAUAUAGAUCAUAAAAUAAUUCCAUACACC